RNAcentral lists this transfer RNA (72 nucleotides) under Sedimentisphaerales bacterium. Its description in RNAcentral is "tRNA-Ile". It matches the Rfam family "tRNA". Rfam says of the family: Transfer RNA (tRNA) molecules are approximately 80 nucleotides in length. The record is from RNAcentral. Lineage: Bacteria; Pseudomonadati; Planctomycetota; Phycisphaerae; Sedimentisphaerales.
GGGCUUGUAGCUCAGCGGUAGAGCAGGGGACUCAUAAUCCCUUGGUCGUAGGUUCGAUCCCUACCGGGCCCA